This 72-nucleotide transfer RNA is filed under the name Xylaria grammica. It matches the Rfam family "tRNA". From Rfam's summary of the family: Transfer RNA (tRNA) molecules are approximately 80 nucleotides in length. Their secondary structure includes four short double-helical elements and three loops (D, anti-codon, and T loops). The record is from Rfam by way of RNAcentral. RNAcentral also lists the same sequence under 2 other names. Lineage: Eukaryota; Fungi; Ascomycota; Sordariomycetes; Xylariales; Xylariaceae.
GGAUUGGUAGCUCAGUGGUAGAGCAAUCGACUGCAGUUCGAUAGGUCAUGGGUUCAAUUCCCAUUCGAUCCU